This 23-nucleotide non-coding RNA is filed under the name Cricetulus griseus (Chinese hamster). The record is from RNAcentral. Lineage: Eukaryota; Metazoa; Chordata; Mammalia; Rodentia; Cricetidae.
UUGCUGUGUGAAGGCGUGGGUAU